RNAcentral lists this ribosomal RNA (491 nucleotides) under uncultured bacterium. RNAcentral describes it as "partial 16S ribosomal RNA". It matches the Rfam family "Bacterial small subunit ribosomal RNA", at positions 29 to 507 of the family's 1533-position model. The record is from RNAcentral.
AGUGAACGCUGGCGGUAGGCCUAACACAUGCAAGUCGAACGGCAGCACAGUAAGAGCUUGCUCUUACGGGUGGCGAGUGGCGGACGGGUGAGGAAUACAUCGGAAUCUACUUUUUCGUGGGGGAUAACGUAGGGAAACUUACGCUAAUACCGCAUACGACCUACGGGUGAAGGCAGGGGACCUUCGAACCUGGGCGAAUGAAUGGGGCGAUGUCGGAUUAGCUAGUUGGCGGGGUAAAGGCCCACCAAGGCGACGAUCCGUAGCUGGUCUGAGAGGAUGAUCAGCCACACUGGAACUGAGACACGGUCCAGACUCCUACGGGAGGCAGCAGUGGGGAAUAUUGGACAAUGGGCGCAAGCCUGAUCCAGCCAUACCGCGUGGGUGAAGAAGGCCUUCGGGUUGUAAAGCCCUUUUGUUGGGAAAGAAAAGCAGCAGGUUAAUACCCCGCUGUUCUGACGGUACCCAAAGAAUAAGCACCGGCUAACUUCGUG